AUAGGGAAUGAGGUUCUCCCUUAGUCAAUGACUAAAACCGCUAUUUAGCUGAUGACUUCUGCAAAC
RNAcentral lists this non-coding RNA (66 nucleotides) under human gut metagenome. Its description in RNAcentral is "Fluoride riboswitch". It matches the Rfam family "Fluoride riboswitch aptamer (crcB RNA motif)", at positions 10 to 61 of the family's 64-position model. The record is from RNAcentral.